RNAcentral lists this ribosomal RNA (526 nucleotides) under uncultured bacterium. RNAcentral's name for it is "bacterial SSU rRNA". It matches the Rfam family "Bacterial small subunit ribosomal RNA", at positions 9 to 530 of the family's 1533-position model. The record is from RNAcentral.
GAGUUUGAUCCUGGCUCAGGAUGAACGCUAGCGGCAGGCCUAACACAUGCAAGUCGAACGGUAACAUGAGAGCUUGCUCUUGAUGACGAGUGGCGCACGGGUGCGUAACGCGUAUACAAUCUACCUUUUACAGAGAGAUAGCCCAGAGAAAUUUGGAUUAAUACCUCAUAGUAUUGUUUUAUGGCAUCAUAAGACAAUUAAAGAUUUAUCGGUAAAAGAUGAGUAUGCGUUCUAUUAGUUAGUUGGAGUGGUAACGGCACCCCAAGACAGCGAUAGAUAGGGGCCCUGAGAGGGGGAUCCCCCACACUGGUACUGAGACACGGACCAGACUCCUACGGGAGGCAGCAGUGAGGAAUAUUGGACAAUGGAGGCAACUCUGAUCCAGCCAUGCCGCGUGCAGGAAGACUGCCCUAUGGGUUGUAAACUGCUUUUAUACAGGAAGAAACCGCUCUACGUGUAGAGCUCUGACGGUACUGUAAGAAUAAGGAUCGGCUAACUCCGUGCCAGCAGCCGCGGUAAUACGGAG